GGUAAAAUGACUGAGUUUAAGUGAUAAAUUGUAAAUUUAUAAACGAAUAAUAAUAUUCUUUUACCA
This 66-nucleotide transfer RNA is filed under the name Staphylinidae sp. BMNH 1274696. RNAcentral describes it as "tRNA-Tyr". The record is from RNAcentral. Lineage: Eukaryota; Metazoa; Arthropoda; Insecta; Coleoptera; Staphylinidae.